This 301-nucleotide ribosomal RNA is filed under the name uncultured bacterium. RNAcentral describes it as "partial 16S ribosomal RNA". It matches the Rfam family "Bacterial small subunit ribosomal RNA", at positions 509 to 807 of the family's 1533-position model. The record is from RNAcentral.
CAGUAGCCACGGUAAUACGAAGGGGGCUAGCGUUGUUCGGAUUUACUGGGCGUAAAGGGCUCGCAGGCGGUUUCUUAAGUCUGAUGUGAAAGCCCCCGGCUCAACCGGGGAGGGUCAUUGGAAACUGGGAAACCUGAGUGCAGAAGAGGAGAGUGGAAUUCCACGUGUAGCGGUGAAAUGCGUAGAGAUGUGGAGGAACACCAGUGGCGAAGGCGACUCUCUGGUCUGUAACUGACGCUGAGGAGCGAAAGCGUGGGGAGCGAACAGGAUUAGAUACCCCGGUAGUCCCUGUCUCUUAUAC